UACAGAGGGUGCAAGCGCUAAUCGGAAUUACUGGGCGUAAAGCGUGCGUAGACGGUUAUUUAAGUCAGGUGUGAAAGCCCAGGGCUCAACCUUGGAAUUGCAUUUGAGACUGAAUAGCUAGGGUGCGGAAGAGGGAAGCGGAAUUUCCGGUGUAGCGGUGAAAUGCGUAGAUAUCGGAAGGAACACCAGUGGCGAAAGCGGCUUCCUGGUCCAGCACCGACGUUCAGGCACGAAAGCGUGGGGAGCAAACAGG
RNAcentral lists this ribosomal RNA (253 nucleotides) under uncultured bacterium. RNAcentral describes it as "partial 16S ribosomal RNA". It matches the Rfam family "Bacterial small subunit ribosomal RNA", at positions 524 to 776 of the family's 1533-position model. The record is from RNAcentral.